UGAGUACGAGAUGCUACGGCGUCGAAGCAGUCUAUGUCAUACUUCCAAGAAAAGCUUGCACUGUCAUAAACAAAGAAUGCCUGUACCAUAACCGACACAGGUGGGUAGGUAGAGUAUACUAAGGGGCGCGAGAUAACUCUCUCUAAGGAACUCGGCAAAAUGACUCCGUAACUUCGGGAGAAGGAGUGCCUUAUUUUUAAGGUUGCAAUAACAAGAUCCAAGCAACUGUUUACCAAAAACACAGGUCUCCGCUAAGUCGUAAGACGAUGUAUGGGGGCUGACGCCUGCCCAGUGCCAGAAGGUUAAAGAAGUUGGUUAGCAUUCGCGAAGCUGAUAACUGAAGCCCUGGUGAACGGCGGCCGUAACGAUAACGGUCCUAAGGUAGCGAAAUUCCUUGUCGGGUAAGUUCCGACCCGCACGAAAGGCGUAAUGAUUUGGAUACUGUCUCGGAGAGGGGCUCGGUGAAAUAGACUUGUCUGUGAAGAUGCGGACUACCUGCACCUGGACAGAAAGACCCUAUGAAGCUUUACUGUAACUUGAGAUUGAAAUUGGACUUUAUUUGCGCAGUAUAGGUGGGAGGCGUUGAGAAUAAUCUUGCGGGAUUAUGGGAGCCAUCAGUGAGAUACCACUCUUGUAAUGUUAGAUUUCUAACUUUGUAUCAUUAUCUGGUCAAAGAACAGUUUCAGGCGGGCAGUUUGACUGGGGCGGUCGCCUCCCAAAGGGUAACGGAGGCGCACAAAGGUUUCCUCUGAACGGGUAGAAAUCGUAUCUAGAGUGUAAAGGCAUAAGGAAGCUUGACUGUGAGACCUACAAGUCGAGCAGGGACGAAAGUCGGUCUUAGUGAUCUGACGGUGCUGAGUGGAAAGGCCGUCACUCAACGGAUAAAAGUUACUCUAGGAUAACAGGCUGAUCUCCCCCAAGAGUUCACAUCGACGGGGAGGUUUGGCACCUCGAUGUCGGCUCAUCGCAUCCUGGGGCGGUAGUACGUCCCAAGGGUUGGGCUGUUCGCCCAUGAAAGCGGUACGCGAGCUGGGUUCAGAACGUCGUGAGACAGUUCGGUCCAUAUCCGUGUAGGCGUUAGAAUAUUGAAAGGAGCCUUCUCUAGUACGAGAGGACCGAGAAGGACAUACCUCUGGUGUACCAGUUAUCGUGCCAACGGUAAACGCUGGGUAGCUAUGUAUGGAGUGGAUAACCGCUGAAAGCAUCUAAGUGGGAAGCCCACCUUAAGAUAAGUAUUCUCAU
This 1242-nucleotide ribosomal RNA is filed under the name metagenome. RNAcentral's name for it is "bacterial LSU rRNA". It matches the Rfam family "Bacterial large subunit ribosomal RNA", at positions 1564 to 2817 of the family's 2925-position model. The record is from RNAcentral.